CUUUUUCCCUUUUUUUUCCUCGUUUUUCUCCCCGUUUUUUCUUUUUUGCGGGCUGGCUCUGGGCGCCCGGCAGCGGCGGCCGCGCUGCCCCGCGCUUCCCCGGCUCGCUGGAAGCUGAGGGAUGCGACUCCGCCACCAUGAUGGAAGGACUGAAAAAACGCACCAGGAAGGCGUUCGGGAUACGCAAGAAAGAAAAGGACACCGACUCCACAGGGUCGCCGGACCGCGACGGGCUCAAGAAGAGCAACGGCGCCCCGAACGGCUUUUACGCGGAGAUCGACUGGGACAGAUACGUAAGUGCGGGCCGCGUCCGCGCGUGGGCAUCCCGCGUCGCCGCUCUGCCCUCUCCCCACGGAAACUGAGGUUUCACCGCGGAAAGCACCCCGGGUUGGGGCAGAUCUCACCGCGCGGCUCGGGCCUGCAGCAAAUGCUCUUUUUUUGCUGCCGUUUUUGCUGCAGGCGCUCGCUUGGCAGCGGGUAGCCCCGAGGGGUGUGCGGGGAGCCCGGGCCCUUCCCGCGGCUGCAAAGGCGCCCGGAAAGCGCGCGGGCGUCGGGUGCCGGCGGGUCCGGGGCCACCUCGCGCGGGGCCGGCGACGACACCCCCGGGCACGGGGCCGCGGCGAUGCUGACUCCGCUUCUCCCGCUGCCGCCGCAGAAUUCGCCCGAGCUGGACGAGGAGGGCUACAGCAUCCGGCCGGAGGAACCGGGCUAUAUCCUUUACGGCCCGGCCGCGGGGCGGGCAGCCGUUUGCGG
RNAcentral lists this long non-coding RNA (753 nucleotides) under Dromaius novaehollandiae (emu). RNAcentral describes it as "lncRNA (ENSDNVG00000000186.1)". Lineage: Eukaryota; Metazoa; Chordata; Aves; Casuariiformes; Dromaiidae. The record is from RNAcentral.